Molecule: ribosomal RNA, 1249 nt
Filed under: Nucleospora salmonis
Lineage: Eukaryota; Fungi; Microsporidia; Enterocytozoonidae
Description: SSU rRNA
Rfam family: Microsporidia small subunit ribosomal RNA
Source: RNAcentral
UAACGUGGGUGCUAGCCUCUAAGAUUUAGCCAUGCAUGCUUUGUGAACCCAGACGGGGGAACGGCGAACGGCUCAGUAAUGUUGCGGUGAUCUGCUCUGGUUGAGAAAGAUAACCACGGUAAACUGUGGCUAAGAGACCAGAAUGAGCUGCAACCCUAUCAGUUUGUUGGAAGUGUAAAAGACUCCCAAGACGUCGACGGGUAACGGGAAAUCAGUGUUUGAUUCCGGAGAGGGAGCCUGAGAGAUGGCUCCCACGUCCAAGGAUGGCAGCAGGCGCGAAAAUUGUCCACUCUUUGGAGAGGAGACAGUUAUGAGGCGUGAUUAAAAGAGCGAAGUGUAAACACCUUCGUGUAACGCAAUUGGAGGGCAAGUUUUGGUGCCAGCAGCCGCGGUAAUUYCAACUCCAAGAGUGCCCAUGGUGGAUGCUGCAGUUAAAAAGUCCGUAGUCGUAGAUGCAAUUAAAGGGUGCGGAUCAAGCGCACUGAGUUUGUUGAGUUGUAGCGGAGCGGAUAGGGAGCAUGGUAUAGGUUGGCGAAGAAUGAAAUCUCAAGACCCAACCUGGACCAACUGAGGCGAAAGCGGUGCUCUUAUACGCAUCCGAGGAUCAAGGACGAAGGCUGGAGGAUCGAAAGUGAUUAGAUACCGCUGUAGUUCCAGCAGUAAACUAUGCCGACAUUCUCUGUCCAGCGGACGGGGAAGGGAGAAAUCUUAGUUUUCGGGCUCUGGGGAUAGUACGCUUGCAAGAGUGAAACUUAAAGCGAAAUUGACGGAAGGACACUACCAGGAGUGGAUUGUACUGCUUAAUUUGACUCAACGCGGGAAAACUUACCAGGGUCAAGUUCUCCGUAGAUCGAGUACGUGAGGGGAACGAGAGUGGUGCAUGGCCGUUGGAAAUUGAUGGGAUGACUUUUAGCUUAAAUGCUGAAACCAGUGAGAUCUUCUAGACAGGUGCCAUCCGGCACAGGAGGGCGAAGGCGAUAACAGGUCCGUGAUGCCCUUAGAUAUCCUGGGCUGCAAGUGCAAUACAAUAUUCAUGUCGAUCAAGAAAGGUGAUUAUGGAUGAGCAGGAUUAGCUCUUGUAAAUGAGCUAUGAAUGAGGAAUUCCUAGUAACAGUGUCUCACUAAGGCAUUGUGAAUGCGUCCCUGUUCUUUGUACACACCGCCCGUCACUAUUUCAGAUGGCCAUGAAGAUGAAGAGCUUCGGUUCUGAAUAUUCAUGUCUAGAUAAAGUACAAGUCGUAACAAGGUU